GGAGCUGGCUUGCACUAGAGCACAAAGAAAAGGGCCCAGAAUCAGUCAUUCGACUCAUAUAAAUAGCUAAGGGAGAGUCUUGUUUAAAUGGAAUGAGUCACUACAGCUUUUUUAAAAAAUAUAUAUAGAAACAUGCUAUUUAUGCCUUCAAUGUAUAGAGGUCCCUGUGAUUAACAUUUGGGCUCUAGACACUAAUUUCACAUGUGACAUGGCACAGCAGCAAAUCAUUGUCAAGGGGGUAAUGCCAGGCUUCUGUUUAAGGCCUUCACUUCAGCCAGAAAUUGACAAAUAAAUGCAAAAACUACUUCUGAUCUAAAUAAAUCAUUAAAGCCCAUAUGCCUUAGUUCUGGGCCUUUAAGAUCGUGAAUUUCUAGGUACGUGGGUUUGGAUUCUUAAGAUUCAGCAAGUCUUUCAUGGAUAAAUUAGGGGAAGAGAAAAAUACACCCUAGGGAUUGUGGUCGAGUUGUAGUAUGAUUAAUAUUGUUGCUGCUAAUUUAAUUUUAGAAACUAUCACUUUCCACUUUUGUUUUAAUUAACUAAUUAACAUUGCUUUGAUUAACAUUGUUAUGAGGCCACACUUUGGCUAUCUACUAAACCAACUACUAUCUCAUGCAUAUCUAUUGGCCAAAUUAAAACAGGCUUGGAAUUCCAAGACACUCCAAAUAUUGUCAGAGCUUGGGUGAUUCCAAUGACUUCGAGUUCAUUAAGGCAUUGUUAGUCUGUGCAGAAUGAGGUGAGUGCGAUUUCUCCAUCUUUUGAGUUUUUGUGGCUCUUUUGGUUCCAUGGAUCCUAUUUAUUUCCCAAGGCCAAGAUUCCUUAAAGAAACUCAGUCAGGUUAAAUCAUGACACUUAGCUUUCCCCAUCUGGACUCUUAGAGCAUUUGUUUAUUUAGCACACACUCUUAGCAUCUUUCUUUUUUAAAUUUAUUCAUGUAUCUUUACUGAGACCUGAACACUGCCAAGCUUUGCACUAGGUCUGUAGGCAUUUAUCAGUUGUUUAGUGUAUAUGUACACUCUUUUAACAUCUAUUCAAGGCUCCUUUGAAGACAUUUAUAAUUUCGUCAGUGUCAGCAGUUCUCAGCCGAGCACGUGUACAGGAUGGAUUGAUCCUAAGUCUCUUAAGCAGCAGCUCUCAAGGCUCAUACGGCACACGACUUUCAUAUGUGAAGAUUCAUAAUGAAAGCCGUUGUUUUAAAAAAAUCAAAAGGGUGGAUUUCUAAAACCCAAACAGCACAUCUACAGAACCUGUAUAUACACAUGAACGCAAAAUGAUUUAGUAUGUGCAAAGGACCACAGCUGAAACAAACUUACACAACUUCCAAACUGUUUCUCAGCUUGUAAAUUUUUUAAAGGAAAAAUUAUUUCUAUCACAGUAAAGAGAAUUUAUUCAUUCUGUUGGCCUUGUUGUCCAGAUUUUAUCUAAUAAGACUUUGUCCUUAAAAUAGAAGACAACUCAAAAAUUAUACUUCUUUUAAGUACAUGCUCCAUAAAGAUCAUCCUCUCUCACACUGAGGACACAAAGAUCAAAGCAAACAAAACCAAGUAAACAGAGAAACCAGGAAACCAUCCAUGGGUUUAUCUUAAUCUCUUGAAUGCCAAAAACUAGAUACAAGUAAAUUGAGUGAUAUAAUGGAGUGCUAUAUUAUGAAUCUAUGUUAAAGAAUCAUGGGCAAAAGUAAGCUUUGGGAGAGAAAUAAACUCUAAAAAGAAACAGAUCAAAUAAGAUUCUGUGCAUUUAUUUCAGGCAGGUUCUGCACAUUAUAUUCAGGGUUCUUUCCCUGGGUACUAUAAGACAAUACACAAAUGUUUGCAACUCUCGAUAUAGCAUCCUCCAUGUGCUGCUCUUUCCCCCUCAGAUAGCUGAAGUGGAAAGGAAAAACAGACUUCUUUGCUGUCUUCUCAGAAUCUGAAUCUUAGGGAGUCAUCAGCCUUCACAUUCCCCCAAUGUUCCAUUCAUAACUUCAUUUAUCAAACACUCAAUAACUAUACUUG
RNAcentral lists this long non-coding RNA (1991 nucleotides) under Mus musculus (house mouse). RNAcentral describes it as "long non-coding RNA chr7:88082812-88084803". Lineage: Eukaryota; Metazoa; Chordata; Mammalia; Rodentia; Muridae. The record is from RNAcentral.